This 1432-nucleotide long non-coding RNA is filed under the name Bos indicus x Bos taurus (hybrid cattle). RNAcentral's name for it is "lncRNA (ENSBIXG00005023203.1)". Lineage: Eukaryota; Metazoa; Chordata; Mammalia; Artiodactyla; Bovidae. The record is from RNAcentral.
UCACAAGCUGGAAUCAAGAUCAAAACCUCAGAUAUGCAGAUGAUACCACUCUAGUGGCAGACACUGAAGAGGAACUAAAGAGCUGCUUGAUGACGGUGUAAGAGGAGAGUGAAAAAGCUGCCUUAAAAUGCAACAUUCAAAAUACUAAGAUCAUGCCAUCUGGUCCCAUCUCUUCAUGACAAAUAGAUGGGGAAAAGUGGAAGCAGUGACACAUUUUAUUUUCUUUGGCUCCAAAAUCACUGUGACUGCGCUAUGAAAUUAAAGACACUUGCUCCUUGGAAGGAAAGCUAUGACAAACCUAGACAGCAUAUUCAAAAGCAGAAACAUCACUUUACCAACAAAGGUCUAUAGAGUCAAAACUGUGGUUGUUCCAGUAGUCAUGUACAGAUGUGAAAAUUGGACUAUAAAAAAGGCUGAGCACUGAAGAAUUGAUGACUUCAAACUACGGAGCUGGAAAAGAUUCCUGAGAGUCCCCUGGACAGCAAGGAGAUCAAACCAGUCAGUCCUAAAGGAAAUCAACCCUGGAUAUUCAUUGGAAGGACUGAUGCUGAAGCUCCAAUACUUAGGUCACCUGAUGAAAAGAGCUGACUCAUUGGAAAAGACCCUGAUGCUGGGAAAGAUUGAAGGCCAAAGAAGAAGGGAACAGCAGAGGAUGAGAUGGUUGGAAGGCAUCACCAAUUCCAUGGACAUGAAUCUGAGCAAAUUCCAGGAGAUAGUGGAGGACAACAGAGGAGCCACACAACCACAAAGCAGAAGAGCCAGGAGGCCUCCCCUUUCUACCCCAGAGCCAGAGCCAUGACCUCACACAGGGGCCCCUCGCAGAUCCUUAUGACCUUAUGACUCGAGGAACCGAAACUCAAGCCAUCUCCUGGAAGACAGUCAGACUUCUGUUUUCAUGCUUGAAUUUAAAAGCCACAGGAUACUCUGCUGUCAGGGAUUUGUACUUAUAACUCAAGACUCCAGAGGUACAGAUGGGCCUGGACCCUGGUCUGUGAUCCCCUGUCCUUGGAAUUCUUCUUCAUGUUGCAGGUCUGGGUGGGACUUCCUGUCAGGGAAUCCUGUGAUGAACGGCUUCAAUGCUGCUGCUGCUGCUAAGCCACUUCAGUCGUGUCCGACUCUGUUCGACCCCAUAGACGGCAGCUCACCAGGCUCCCCCGUCCCUGGGAUUCCCCAGGCAAGAACACUGGAGUGGGUUGCCAUUUCCUUCUCCAAUGCAUUAAAGUGGAAAUUGAAAGUGAAGUCGCUCAGUCGUGUCUGACUCUUAGCAACCUCAUGGACUGCAGCCCACCAGGCUCCUCCAUCCACGGGAUUUUCCAGGCAACAGUACCAGAGUGGGGUGCCAUUGCCCUCUCCAUAAGCAAAAGUAAAAGAGAAAAACACUCCUCUUGAAAUAUGUGUUACUGAUAUAAUAAAGUAAAUAUUGCAGUGACCA